Molecule: ribosomal RNA, 467 nt
Filed under: uncultured bacterium
Lineage: Bacteria
Description: partial 16S ribosomal RNA
Rfam family: Bacterial small subunit ribosomal RNA
Source: RNAcentral
GACGAACGCUGGCGGCGUGCUUAACACAUGCAAGUCGAACGGAAAGGCCCUGCUUUUGUGGGGUGCUCGAGUGGCGAACGGGUGAGUAACACGUGAGUAACCUGCCCUUGACUUUGGGAUAACUUCAGGAAACUGGGGCUAAUACCGGAUAGGAGCUCCUGCUGCAUGGUGGGGGUUGGAAAGUUUCGGCGGUUGGGGAUGGACUCGCGGCUUAUCAGCUUGUUGGUGGGGUAGUGGCUUACCAAGGCUUUGACGGGUAGCCGGCCUGAGAGGGUGACCGGCCACAUUGGGACUGAGAUACGGCCCAGACUCCUACGGGAGGCAGCAGUGGGGAAUAUUGCACAAUGGGCGGAAGCCUGAUGCAGCAACGCCGCGUGCGGGAUGACGGCCUUCGGGUUGUAACCCGCUUUCGCCUGUGACGAAGCGUGAGUGACGGUAAUGGGUAAAGAAGCACCGGCUAACUACGU